GGCGGCGUGCUUAACACAUGCAAGUCGAGCGGAAAGGCCCUUCGGGGUACUCGAGCGGCGAACGGGUGAGUAACACGUGAGUAACCUGCCCUUCACUCUGGGAUAAGCCUGGGAAACGGGGUCUAAUACCGGAUACGACUUCGUCCCGCAUGGGACGGGGUGGAAAGUUUUUUCGGUGAGGGAUGAGCUCGCGGCCUAUCAGCUUGUUGGUGGGGUAGUGGCCUACCAAGGCGACGACGGGUAGCCGGCCUGAGAGGGCGACCGGCCACACUGGGACUGAGACACGGCCCAGACUCCUACGGGAGGCAGCAGUGGGGAAUAUUGCACAAUGGGCGGAAGCCUGACGCAGCGACGCCGCGUGGGGGAUGACGGCCUUCGGGUUGUAAACCUCUUUCAGCAGGGACGAAGUUGACGUGUACCUGCAGAAGAAGCGCCGGCUAACUACGUGCCAGCAGCCGCGGUAAUACGUAGGGCGCGAGCGUUGUCCGGAAUUAUUGGGCGUAAAGAGCUCGUAGGUGGCCGGUCGCGUCGGGUGUGAAAGCUUGGGGCUUAACUCCAGGUCUGCAUCCGAUACGGGCCGGCUAGAGGUAGGUAGGGGAGAACGGAAUUCCUGGUGUAGCGGUGAAAUGCGCAGAUAUCAGGAGGAACACCGGUGGCGAAGGCGGUUCUCUGGGCCUUACCUGACGCUGAGGAGCGAGAGCGUGGGGAGCGAACAGGAUUAGAUACCCUGGUAGUCCACGCUGUAAACGUUGGGCGCUAGGUGUGGGGGACCUUCCACGGUUUCCGCGCCGUAGCUAACGCAUUAAGCGCCCCGCCUGGGGAGUACGGCCGC
Molecule: ribosomal RNA, 832 nt
Filed under: Streptosporangium sp. IM-6654
Lineage: Bacteria; Bacillati; Actinomycetota; Actinomycetes; Streptosporangiales; Streptosporangiaceae
Description: bacterial SSU rRNA
Rfam family: Bacterial small subunit ribosomal RNA
Source: RNAcentral